This 84-nucleotide transfer RNA is filed under the name Saccharopolyspora gloriosae. RNAcentral's name for it is "tRNA-OTHER". Lineage: Bacteria; Bacillati; Actinomycetota; Actinomycetes; Pseudonocardiales; Pseudonocardiaceae. The record is from RNAcentral.
GUGCCUGGUGAGAGCGACGCAAGCGGCACUCUGUAAAUCAGCCGCGCAAGCUUCGGAGGUUCGAAUCCUCCACCUGGCACACCA